This 720-nucleotide ribosomal RNA is filed under the name uncultured bacterium. RNAcentral describes it as "partial 16S ribosomal RNA". The record is from RNAcentral.
UCCCCUGGCAUUCUGAUCCCGGAUUACUAGCGAUUUCAGCUUCAUGAAGUCGAGUUGCAGACUUCAAUCCGAACUACGACUGGCUUUUUAGAUUGGCUCCCCCUCGCGGGUUUGCAGCUCAUUGUACCAGCCAUUGUAGCACGCCUGUUGCCCAAGACGUAAGGGGCAUGAUGAUUUGACGUCAUCCCCACCUUCCUCCGGUUUAAUACCGGCAGUCUCAUUAGAGUUCUCAACUGAAUGUUAGUAACUAAUGACAAGGGUUGCGCUCGUUAGCGGACUUAACCGAACAUCUCACGACACGAGCUGACGACAACCAUGCACCACCUGUCACCCGGGUAACCUCCACUAUAUUUCUAUAGCUUUGCCGGGGAUGUCAAGUCUUGGUAAGGUUUUUCGCGUAUUGUCGAAUUAAACGGCAUGCUCCACCGCUUGUGCGGGUGCCCGUCAAUUCCUUUGAGUUUCAGUCUUGCGACCGUACUACUCAGGCGGAGCACUUAAUGUGUUAACUUCAGCACCGGUUGCCCGACACUUAGUGCUCAUCGUUUACGGCGUGGACUACUAGGGUAUCUAAUCCUAUUUGCUCCCCACGCUUUCGUGUCUCAGCGUCAGUAACAGCCCAGCAAUUCGCCUUCGCCACUGAUGUUCCUCAUAAUAUCUACGCAUUCCACCGCUACACUAUGAAUUCCAAUUGCCUCUACUGCACUCUAGUCUGCCAGUAUC